Molecule: long non-coding RNA, 892 nt
Organism: Toxorhynchites rutilus septentrionalis
Lineage: Eukaryota; Metazoa; Arthropoda; Insecta; Diptera; Culicidae
Exons: 3
Source: RefSeq, a predicted model, not a curated record
AGAAUUGCGACUGUCACAGCAGUGUAGCGUCUGUUGCCAUGGUAACAAAGCUUAAAAUCGUAGAAAUCCAUAGCAACGGUUUCACGCAGCCGUAAGUGUUCAGAUACACCAGAGCCAAAAACGGCGGAUGUCGCCGUGCACAAUUUAUUGAUGAUCCGAUUAUUGUUUGAUCGUCGACACGGCAGAAAAAAGCCUAGCGCCAAACCAAGUCAACUGCCCCUACUGGCAUGUUCCCUUCGGACAACAACAUCAGCAUAGGAUCGGAAAACAACAGUCCACUGGAAAAAACUGCGAUCUCUUCGAAGGUAUUGCCCAUGACAGAUUCCACCGUGAAGAAGUAUUUUUCUGACAUCGAACUCUAGGGAGGAGGUAUUGGAAAAUCGAAAAUAAUCACAUCUAAUGUGCAGCGGUUCUAAGCUAACAUGUGGCUGAGUGGAGAAUUUCUUAUCAAAUUUAACAACAACAAGUACUACCAAUUUUGAUCCACAAUGAUCAAUCCGCAUGUGACUGAACUGAAUGAUUUUUUCACUGUGCAGCUUCCAUUGGGAUUUCCAGUAAAAAUAGAAAUACCGCUGUUCCAUGUGUUGAACGCGGUUAUCAUAUUUGGCAACGUAUUCGAAUAAGAGACACCCGUGACCAGUGUGAGCCACAUCAAAGAAAGCGAAGAGCGUACGGCAUGCAUUAUCGUGGUUUACUGUUUCGAUGUCCCGUUUGAGUACGUACGACGCGAUGUCGAUUUCCAGCGUCAAAUCAUCUUCGAAGAUGAGAACGAAUCGAUGCAAUUUGCGAUCCAGCAAAAUUUGGCAAGUGUCCGAAAAAGCACACUUUUGAGUACUGUGAUAUCCAACUCGCUCGCUAAAAGCAUGCAGGAAAAACUUUUCAAUAUUUUCUA